ACGAACGCUGGCGGCGUGCUUCACCCAUGCAAGUCGAACGGGCCUGUCUUCUUUUUUGGGGGUGGGUUGAGUGGCGAACGGGUGAGUAUCACGUGAGUAACCUGCCCUUCGGUCCUGGAUAACCGCUUGAAAGGGCGGCUAAUACGGGGUGGUCCGGUUGGUCCGCAUGGGCUGGUCGGGAUAGAUUCACUGUUUUUGGUGUUUCGGCGGGGGAUGGGCUCGCGGCCUAUCAGCUUGUUGGUGGGGUGAUGGCCUACCAAGGCGGUGACGGGUAGCCGGCCUGGGAGGGUGGGCGGCCACACUGGGACUGGGAUACGGCCCAGACUGCUGCGGGAGGCAGCAGUGGGGGGUAUUGCACAAUGGGCGGAAGCCUGAUGCAGCGACGUCGCGUGAGGGAUGGAGGCCUUCGGGUUGUGAGCCUCUGUUUCCGGUGGUGAAGGCCCUGUCCGUGUGGUGGGGUUGACGGUAGCCGGGGAUGAAGCGCCGGCUAACUACGUG
Molecule: ribosomal RNA, 498 nt
Filed under: uncultured bacterium
Lineage: Bacteria
Description: partial 16S ribosomal RNA
Rfam family: Bacterial small subunit ribosomal RNA
Source: RNAcentral